RNAcentral lists this ribosomal RNA (498 nucleotides) under uncultured bacterium. Its description in RNAcentral is "partial 16S ribosomal RNA". It matches the Rfam family "Bacterial small subunit ribosomal RNA", at positions 30 to 523 of the family's 1533-position model. The record is from RNAcentral.
AUUGAACGCUGGCGGCAUGCUUUACACAUGCAAGUCGAACGGUAACAGGCCGCAAGGUGCUGACGAGUGGCGAACGGGUGAGUAAUGCAUCGGAACGUGCCCAGUCGUGGGGGAUAACGCAGCGAAAGCUGUGCUAAUACCGCAUACGAUCGAUGGAUGAAAGCGGGGGACCGUAAGGCCUCGCGCGAUUGGCGCGGCCGAUGUCAGAUUAGGUAGUUGGUGGGGUAAAGGCUCACCAAGCCAACGAUCUGUAGCUGGUCUGAGAGGACGACCAGCCACACUGGGACUGAGACACGGCCCAGACUCCUACGGGAGGCAGCAGUGGGGAAUUUUGGACAAUGGGCGCAAGCCUGAUCCAGCAAUGCCGCGUGCAGGAAGAAGGCCUUCGGGUUGUAAACUGCUUUUGUACGGAACGAAAAGGUUUGGGUUAAUACCCUGGGCCGAUGACGGUACCGUAAGAAUAAGCACCGGCUAACUACGUGCCAGCCGCCGCAGUAA